This 430-nucleotide ribosomal RNA is filed under the name uncultured bacterium. RNAcentral describes it as "bacterial SSU rRNA". It matches the Rfam family "Bacterial small subunit ribosomal RNA", at positions 346 to 793 of the family's 1533-position model. The record is from RNAcentral.
AGGCAGCAGUGGGGAAUUUUGGGCAAUGGGCGAAAGCCUGACCCAGCAACGCCGCGUGAGGGAUGAAGUAUUUCGGUAUGUAAACCUCGAAAGAAUGGGAAGAAUAAAUGACGGUACCAUUUAUAAGCUCCGGCUAACUACGUGCCAGCAGCCGCGGUAAUACGUAGGGAGCAAGCGUUGUUCGGAUUUACUGGGCGUAAAGGGCGCGUAGGCGGCGCGGUAAGUCACUUGUGAAAUCUCUGAGCUUAACUCAGAACGGCCAAGUGAUACUGCUGUGCUAGAGUGCGGAAGAGGCAACCGGAAUUCUUGGUGUAGCGGUGAAAUGCGUAGAUAUCAAGAGGAACACCUGAGGCGAAGGCGGGUUGCUGGGCCGACACUGACGCUGAUGCGCGAAAGCCAGGGGAGCAAACAGGAUUAGAUACCCCGGUAG